GCCCAACAAGCCUGUAAUCGGUACGGGUUGUGGGAGCAAGAGCCCGGAGAUGGAUUCUGAGACACGAAUCCAGGCCCUACGGGGCGCAGCAGGCGCGAAAACUUUACAAUGCGGGAAACCGUGAUAAGGGAACUCCGAGUGCCCGUAAAAUCGGGCUGUCCAUCUGUUUAAAUAACAGGUGAAGAAAGGGCCGGGCAAGACCGGUGCCAGCCGCCGCGGUAAUACCGGCGGCUCGAGUGGUGGCCACUAUUACUGGGCUUAAAGCGUUCGUAGCUGGUCUGUUAAGUCUCUGGGGAAAUCUACUGGCUUAACCAAUAGGCGUCUCAGGGAUACUGGCAGACUAGGGACCGGGAGAGGUGAGAGGUACUCCAGGGGUAGGAGUGAAAUCCUGUAAUCCUCGGGGGACCACCUGUGGCGAAGGCGUCUCACCAGAACGGCUCCGACAGUGAGGGACGAAAGCUGGGGGAGCAAACCGGAUUAGAUACCCGGGUAGUCCCAGCCGUAAACGAUGCGCGUUAGGUGUAUCGGUGACCACGAGUCACCGACGUGCCGAAGAGAAAUCGUGAAACGUGCCGCCUGGGAAGUACGGUCGCAAGGCUGAAACUUAAAGGAAUUGGCGGGGGAGCAC
This 628-nucleotide ribosomal RNA is filed under the name uncultured Methanomicrobiales archaeon. Its description in RNAcentral is "bacterial SSU rRNA". It matches the Rfam family "Archaeal small subunit ribosomal RNA", at positions 247 to 879 of the family's 1478-position model. The record is from RNAcentral. Lineage: Archaea; Methanobacteriati; Methanobacteriota; Methanomicrobia; Methanomicrobiales.